GCGAUUUCUCGGCAAUCGCGAGGGUGUCCUCGGACAGGCAACAACGGGUUUAUUUAAUUUACCUUCUAUCAAUCUUCAUCAUCAUCAUCAUCAUCACCAUUAUCACUAUCAAUAUCAUUACCGACAACCACUAUCACGCUGAUAGUCAUCAGUUCACUAAUUAGUCAACCGCUUAAAUUCGCCAGUGCGUGCUAAUAGUAAAAUCAUAAAAUAAAAUAAUUAUAAAGUUAUUUAAUUAAAACAAGAUAGUAAAUUUAAAAAAUAAGCAAACAAUGAAUUUAUAAAAAAAUAAUUGUGUGAGUUUUAUUACGAGGUCAAUUUUGAAUUGAGUCUUGAAUUGUAGGACAAGAAAUGCUAGACUGAUAACAAGGAGCGACAGUAACGAGGAAACAUGCUUAUUAAGGAGUACAGGAUACCACUUCCUCUUACUGUUGAGGAAUACCGAAUCGCUCAGCUUUAUAUGAUAGCAAAAAAAUCACGUGAAGAAAGCAAGGGCGUUGGUAGCGGAGUCGAGAUAAAAGUUAAUGAACCGUACAAAGAUGGACCCGGAGGAAACGGACAGUAUACUCAUAAAAUUUAUCAUGUAGGAAGUCAUUUACCUGGUUGGUUCAAGAGUUUAUUACCUAAAACAGCGUUACAGACCCAGGAGGAAGCUUGGAAUGCUUAUCCCUACACAAAAACUCGUUACACGUGUCCAUUUGUUGAAAAAUUUUCCGUUGAAAUAGAAACUUAUUAUUUUCCUGACAACGGACAUCAAGAAAAUGUAUUCAAAUUGUCUGGUAGUGAUUUGCGUAAUCGAAUUGUCGAUGUUAUUGAUGUGGUUAAGGAUCAGCUUAUUGGUGCGGAUUACGUUAAAGAGGAAGACCCGACGCUGUAUGUAUCAGAGAAAACCGGACGUGGACCGCUCACUGAGUCGUGGCUUGAAGAUUAUUGGGCAGAAGUUAAAGGAAAAUCGCAACCUACGGCAUCGGGGAAGUCACUGAUGUGCGCUUACAAACUUUGUAAGGUCGAGUUCCGUUACUGGGGCAUGCAGACCAAGCUGGAGAAAUUUAUUCACGAUGUGGCGUUACGGAAAACUAUGGUACGAGCGCAUCGUCAAGCGUGGGCAUGGCAGGAUGAAUGGAUAGGACUGACAAUGGAGGACAUAAGAGAAAUAGAAAGAGAAACACAAUUGGCAUUACAGCGAAAAAUGGCUGCCGCUGAAGCCGCUGAACGUGGGGAGACUGUCGAUGGCUACGAGGAUGACCACAAUGAUACUAAUGGAGCGGUAUCAACUCCACAGGAUCCAACAGACGUUGCUAAAACACUGGCUGCGACUUUGGGUAGCAUUGAGAAAAAUGAAGACCCUCAAAGUCCCCCGUCCAUUCGAAAACCUUCGGACAUUCCUGUCAUCAAUACGGCUCGGAGUUCUGAAGGCGACUUAAGUCCCGAAGACUCUCCUACUGCCGUCUUAGCACCCGGCUUGAAGAUCGAAGAUAAAGCGGAAACUAAAAAAGUUUGGAAGCACGGCAGUCAUUCAAUGCACUCACCCAGUUCCGCGAAAAGCUUCGACAUCCAAAUUGCUAAUUGGCGCAUGGAGAGCAUCGUCCGUGAAUCUGAGUCGGGAAGCGAGGAUGAAUUUUUUGAUUGCCAAGCCGCUGGGAUUGUUGUACCUGAGAUACGCACAGAAGACUUUGGUGACAAUACAUCUCUGGCCAAGUGGAGCUCGCUGGACCUCUUAAAUGACAAAGAAGACUCGCUGUCACCCACGGCACCAACAUCCUCAACUGGAGUGUCUUCUAACAAACGAAACGACAGUAUAUUUUCUCACUCGUAUCUCCAGCGUGUCGCGAGUGAACGAAGCGGGAAAAGAAUUCAUAUACGGCCGUCAGCAAGCAUAGAUCUGUCAUGUCCAGCGUCACCGCAACACUCGCCAACUCAUCAGCCCUGUCGUACAACGGUUUUGCUGAUAGUGAUGCACGCUGGCAGUGUCCUUGACGCCAAUGUUGAUUUGUCCGCUAAAAAAUCCGACAUCACAACAUUCCGCGGUGCCUUUGAAUCUGUCAUGCGUCAGCAUUAUCCCAGUGUCGUUGGACAUAUCGCCAUAAGAUUUGUCUCAUGUCCGUCAAUUUGCACUGAAGGUCUUGGUAUUUUAUCCAGUUUAAGUCCUUACAGCUUUGAUGUAUCGCCGUCUUGUGUUGACUCUCCCCAAGUUACCAAUGACACUAUUCCUAUUGGAUCAAUUCCUCUGUUAGCUUGCUCAUCAUCUGACUAUCAAGACGCUGUGUCGAAAAUAAUAACCGGCGCAAACCAAGUAUUUGCCGAAUUUAUUAAGUCUGACGAAGGCCGCGGUUUCGCGGGUCAAAUAUCUUUCAUAGGUGACUCUGUUGGUUCGAUAUUAACUUACGACGCGCUAUGUCGCUCUGUACAGUAUCAAUCCCGUCAUGACAGUGAAAAUAGUAUUUUAGAAAACGACAAUCAAAAUACCGGUGAUAAUAGCCUCGGGAGUUGUGAAGACGGUAAACAUUUAACCGCACCUCUACCAAGAAGACGUUCCUCAUCAACGAGCGACUCGUCACAAUGUAAACUUGAGUUUGAAGUAAGCGAAUUCUUUAUGUUCGGUAGUCCGCUGGCGCUAGUACUUGCCUAUCGUAAAAUAUCUUCGAGCAAUGACAAAAGUACUGCGAUAUCAAGACCACUUGUCAAUCAAGUCUACAAUCUAUUUCAUCCAACUGAUCCAGUUGCCGCUCGCUUGGAGCCUCUUAUUUCCGCGAGAUUCUCACAGUUGCCUCCGGUCAACGUCGCACGCUAUCAAAAAUAUCCACUAGGCAACGGACAACCUUAUCAUUUACUCGAAGCCAUUCAAACAAAUCCACAAUUGUUUACUGAUGGAUUGAAUGCUCCAAACACGCCACUCCACCAUUUAAGAAGAAUGUCUGAUAUAUCGAUCCAAAGCACUAUGUCAGGUCUUAUUGAUAAUGUACCUUUGCAAGCAGUUUCUUCAUUAACACACAAGUGGUGGGGAAAUAAAAGAAUAGAUUACGCACUCUACUGCCCAGAAGGUCUUGCAAACUUUCCAACAAACGCAUUACCGCAUUUAUUCCACGCAAGUUACUGGGAGUCAUCAGACGUUAUUGCCUUCAUAUUAAGACAAAUCGGUAGAUUUGAUUUGCCGAUGCUCGGCGGUGAAGAAAAAGAUUUAGCUUGUUUCCGUCCAGGUCAGCCGAGAGAAAAGUGGAAUAAAAAACGAACCUCUGUUAAACUUAAGAAUGUCGCCGCGAAUCAUCGAGCAAAUGACGUAAUUGUUCGCGAAGGCGCUCCGCAAAUAUUGAUCGCGCGAUUUAUGUACAGUCCCAUAGACGUUAUCGCAUUGACUGGUGAAAAAGUUGACAUCCAUGUGAUGAAAGAUGCACCCGCUGGAGAAUGGACAUAUCUAUCAACAGAAGUAACAGAUAAAAAUGGCCGAAUCACUUACAGAAUUCCUGAUGACAAAGCAUUGUCUUAUGGUCUCUAUCCUAUUAAAAUGGUUGUGAGAGGCGAUCAUACGUCUGUUGAUUUUUUUAUGGCUGUAAUACCCCCGAAUACUGAGUGUGUGGUAUUUAGUAUCGACGGAUCAUUUACCGCGAGUAUGAGCGUCACGGGAAGAGAUCCCAAAGUCCGUGCUGGUGCUGUUGAUGUCGUCAGACACUGGCAAGAGCUCGGGUAUCUCAUAAUCUACAUAACAGCGCGACCAGAUAUGCAGCAGCAGAAAGUUGUGUCCUGGUUAUCGCAGCACAACUUUCCUCACGGUUUAGUCUCCUUUGCGGACGGUCUCUCCCGAGAUCCUCUGGGUCACAAAGCCGCGUACUUGAACAAUCUGAUACAAGAGCACGGAGUAAUAAUUCACCAGGCGUACGGUAGCAGUAAAGACAUUGCCGUUUACACGGCAGUAAAUCUUAAGCCGCGUCAGAUAGUAAUUGUCGGUAAAGUGUCCAAGAAACAUCAGUCACUGGCGACUGUCUUAAGUGAAGGGUACGCCGCUCAUUUAACUCAACUACAGGCUUACGGGGGAUCAAGACCUGCUCAGGGUAACGCGAGAAUGGUGAUCCCACGCGGGCAAUUUGGUCUCCCGGGUUUAAACUCCUCUUUGCGGCGAAGAAGUAAAACGCGUGCGAAUACGAGCCACGGCUCUAUUUUUCCAGUAAGGAGACAACGGUCAGCUCACCAGCUCGCAACAACGUGUACUUAAAGCGGAAAGUCUACCUUACCCACAUCUAACACACGUCUAAUUAUAUCUACCUACAAUUUACUCACUUACAUUGGUACCUGCUCUGAAGAUUUGUUGCAAUGUCGCGAGUCGAUGUUAAUAAUCGCUCACGACAAGAGCGACCUACAUCACAUUCCACAAUCAGAAUUAUUAUUUUAUCGACAGCAAUGAUAUUAUCCAGAAUUUAUGCACGAAUACGACUGAGAGCUAGUCGUUGGUGCGGAAAUAAUAAUUCCCAUUCGUUUGAUUCCUGAUGAUCAUGAUGGUGAUGGUGAUGAUGAUGAUGAUGAUGAUGAUGAUGAUGACAAUAUUUAUGAGAUGAUGAUGUGUUCCAACAAAUAAUGAGGCGAUUGGUCGCGAUGAUUUUGCGAGCAAGUUCUUUUAGGACAGCGAAACGUACCAUAUCAUCACCAAUGAUUCCAAACAAAUCAGAACAACUGGAACGGAGUACAAGUGUCGGUCCAGCAUCUCGAAGAUCAUCGCCGCCUCUUACCAGACCACCAGCUUCUGAUAAACUC
Molecule: RNA transcript, 4743 nt
Organism: Microplitis mediator
Lineage: Eukaryota; Metazoa; Arthropoda; Insecta; Hymenoptera; Braconidae
Gene: rdgB
Gene name: protein retinal degeneration B
Exons: 17
Source: RefSeq, a predicted model, not a curated record